This 501-nucleotide ribosomal RNA is filed under the name uncultured bacterium. RNAcentral describes it as "partial 16S ribosomal RNA". It matches the Rfam family "Bacterial small subunit ribosomal RNA", at positions 30 to 523 of the family's 1533-position model. The record is from RNAcentral.
AUUGAACGCUGGCGGCAUGCCUUACACAUGCAAGUCGAACGGCAGCACGGGUGCUUGCACCUGGUGGCGAGUGGCGAACGGGUGAGUAAUACAUCGGAACGUACCUUAUCGUGGGGGAUAACGCAGCGAAAGUUGCGCUAAUACCGCAUACGCCCUGAGGGGGAAAGCGGGGGACCGUAAGGCCUCGCGCGAUUAGAGCGGCCGAUGUCUGAUUAGCUUGUUGGUGGGGUAAAAGCUCACCAAGGCGAUGAUCAGUAGCUGGGCUGAGAGGACGAUCAGGCACACUGGGACUGCGACACGGCCCAGACUCCUACGGGAGGCAGCAGUGGGGAAUUUUGGACAAUUGGGGCAACCCUGAUCCAGCAAUGCCGCGUGAGUGAAGAAGGCCUUCGGGUUGUAAAGCUCUUUUGUCAGGGAAGAAACAGCAGCUCUAACACAGUCUGCGAAUGACGGUACCUGAAGAAUAAGCACCGGCUAACUACGUGCCAGCCGCCGCCGUAA